Non-coding RNA from Callithrix jacchus (white-tufted-ear marmoset), 20055 nucleotides. The record is from RefSeq and is a predicted model, not a curated record. Lineage: Eukaryota; Metazoa; Chordata; Mammalia; Primates; Cebidae.
UGCAUUUUUAGUAAAGUCAGGGUUUUGCCACUCCAGGCUGGUCUCAAACUCCUGAUCUUCAGUGAUGCAACCCCUUUGGCCUUCCAAAGUGUUGGGAUUACAGGCUUGAGCCACCACUCCCGGCCUGUUAUGUAAUCUUUUAAACACAUAAAAGCCCUUCUUUCUCGCAGGCUGUGCAGAAGCCGGCUGCGGGCUGGGUGUGGCUCAUUGCUCAUCAUUUACCACCGCCGAGCCAUACCUUAGGUGGCAAAUGCUUGAGAUGGAACUUUGGCGGGAUGGUGAGCUGGGGAUUCUAUGGUGUGGCCAUGGCCAGCUUUGAGGAGAAGGUACAGUUCAAGCAAGAGCCAUGGGGCCAGUGUGGAGAGAGCUCCAGGUGGGGGCUCCACUGCACAGAGGCCUGGGAGAGGGAUGUGCCUGACCUGUUUGUUUUGGAGAUGGAGUCUCAUUCUCUUUCACCCAGGCUAGAGGGCUGUGGUGUGAUCUCAGCUCACUGCAACCUCUCUCAAAUUCAAGUGAUUCUCCUGCCUCAGCCUGCCAAGUAGCUGGGAUUACAAGCAUUCACCACCAUACCCAGCUAAUUUUUGUAUGUUUAGUAGAGACGGGGUUUCACUAUAUUAGCCAGGCUGGUCUCAGAAUCCUGGGCUCCAGAGACUUGGUGCUGGGAUUACAGGCAUGAGCCACCUUGCCUGGCCUGUUUGAAUAGCAAGGUGGUGGGGCUGAUGUGAACUGGGAGGUUCCAAGGCUAGGAGAUGAGGGGAGGACUCUGGCUUCUGCUCUGACCUAGGAAGGAUGUGAUCACCCUUUCACUUCAAAAGGCCCCUUUGGUCCCUGUGUUGAGAACACGGAGGUGAUGAUAGAAAUGGGGAACUUAGUCUAGAGCAGGGGCUUGGGGACCAAAUAUCCUUUUUUCUCACAGCAAUGAGGCCCACCAGGAACUGGGCUACAGGCAAGGGGUCUGCCCCUUCUCCCAUGCUGAUGGCCUUGCAGAACAUCUGGACUCUGGCUCUGCCUCUUCCUGGGAUUCCUCUGCAUUGGCUCUGUGUGCCUCCGUUUCCCCAGCUGUAGAAUAGGGACUAGACCCACAUCAUGGGGAAAAGGCUCCACAUAAUACAAGUUCCUGCUCCUUCCACCUUGCGGUCAGAAUGUAGGCUGAGGAAGGGAAAAGCUCCCAGGGCGAGAUUUUAGCUUGGUUGAAUCACCUGCCUGGUUAUUCGCCUACCUGGUGAGUGGGAUCUCGUGGGGGUGUCAAAAAAUGGAUUUAACUGGCAGUGAGGGUGUUGAAGCUGCUUCCUGUCCCCAGCUGCUGGGCCUCUGGGCUCCCUAAAAGGUAAGUGAGUCCACCUGCUUAUCCCCCUCACUGGCCCAUCAACAACAGAGUGUGCAAUGUUUCUUUUCCCACUCCACUUCCACAUGAGCCUAGAUCUCCCUGAUCAUUCAGAUCUCACAGGCUUGACUGUACUCUACAUAUUGAGAAAGUUCCAGUCCUCCCCUCAACUGUAGAAAUUUCCUAGACCUGUUGGUCAAGCACACUGGCUUAUGCCUGUAAUCUCAGCACUUUGGGAAGACAUUGAGGUCGGGAGUUCGAGAACAGCCUGGCCAACAUGGUGAAACCCUGACUCAAAAAUUUAAAAAUCAGCCAGGCAUGGGAGUGGGUGCAUGUAGUUUCAGCUACUCUGGAGGCUGAGAAAAAAGAAGCACUUAAACCCAGGAGGCAGAGGUAGCAGGGAGUCGAGAUUGUACCACUAUACCUGAGCUUGGGAAACAGACUGAAAUUCUGUCUCAAAAAAACAAAACAGUUUCCUAUACCUUCCAGCUCCUAUCCUUGACAUCUACACACACAGGCCCCAUGCUGCCCAAGACCCAGGGGGCAGAUCAGAAAUGACAUAAGACAUCUGUGUCAUCAAAAUAGGGCAGCUUGUUUCUGUCCUGGCAUCACCCCCCACCUCCACUGUCAUGCCAGUCUCUGUGCUCCUCCACCUCAUUAUGGGAUUUUCUAGAACAAGGACAGCCCUCCCUGUGAGGCACCUCAAUACUCUCCAUAACAGAGCUCUUCCUGCAGAACUGUGAGCUCCCCCGCUGAAGCCAAAGGAAGCACGGCUCAGCCAGGCACAGCGGCUUGUCCUGUGCAUUCCCUCUAGGAACUACUCAAUGGUGAUGACGCUGCUGCUGCCUCUGCUGCCUGGGGGUGUUGUGGCCUGGGUGACUGGCUACCUGAUGGAGAAGCUGCUGUGGCCACUCCUACAGCUGUCCAGGGCCAACAUGCUGGCCGAGUUCUACUGGCUCAGAUGCCGCCUGCUGCAGGGUCUCUGGGAGUAUGAGUCCUGCCCCGGGCUGUGCCACCCUCCUCUCUGGGAGCCCCCUGCCCCGUGGGCACAGCAGCAGGGCCAUGCAGUGGCAGGUGCUGUGGUGGCACAGGGAAGCCUGCAGAGGCUUGUGGCAUCACAGUGCCAGGCCCAGAGCUUAUGGGACUUCCCAAGGUUUUAUGAGACUAGGGCUGAGGCUGCACAUCCUGCUUUUCCCAAGAUUAUAAGUCCUGGCCCAGCAGUGCAGUUAAGGGCGGUGCUGGGAUGACCAUUUCUGGGCUCCUGAGGAGGUUGCCUGUGGCUCAGGUGAGUCUGCUAACAAUUGUGGACUCAUCUUCCUCAAAUGUGAAAUGCAGGUAACCACAUGGCUCACUCACAUGGGUAAGGGACAUGUACAGUUCUUAAUGCACGAGGGACCCCUCAUGUUUCUGGGGGAGCCACCAUACCCAGGCUUGGCAAGGAGUGGUUUAUCUGUGUGAGACUCACAUGGAGGCCUACGGCUCCCUAGAAGCAUGGGUGUAGUCAUGUCUAAGCAGAACGCUGAUCUUGUAAAAAAAAAAAACAGCCUGGUCUUGAAGUUCUGUGUGUGUGACCAUGGGCUUCUCUGUGCUCCUCAGUUCUGAUAGCUGACCACUGGGCUGGUAGUGCCUCCCUUGGGAUGCUGGCCCUGGCCAACAGGUAUCUGGCUGUGCAGGGUGGAUGGUGCUUUCCUGCCAUGAGCACAAGCACCCCCAAGGCACAGCUCAGGGGCCACACUGGCUGGACUGGUCAGACCUUUUCCUUCACAGGCCAUCUCUUCCCUACCCUGAACAGGACAGGUCUGCAGGACACUGCUGUCAUGUUUGAGGGAGCCAUUGGCCAUCCACUUAAAGGGUCAAUUUUUCCCCCGCAGUAGCUUCCUUGAGAUUAAAUAAAUGACUUGUAUGUUUUUUUAUUGUUUUUUGUUUUUUUUUGAGACUAGGUCUCACUCUGUUGUCAUGGUUGGAGUGCAGUGGUGCGCUUUCGGUUCCCUGCACCCUUGACCUCCUGGGUUCAAGUGAUCCUCCUGCCUCAGCCCCACAAACUGCUGGGAUGGCUUAGCACCACUGUGCCCAGUUGAUAUGUGAAUUUUAAGUGCACCAUUCAGUGGCUUCUAGUUUAUUCAGAGUUGUGCAUGCCUCACCACAAUUGAUUUUAAAAUGUUUUUAUCAUCCUAAAAUGACACCCUGCAGCUACCAGUCUGCCUGCUGUGUCUAUGGCUGUGCCUGCUCUGGACAUCUGAUGUAAACAGAAAGAUGACUAUGUGACCUCUGAGCCAGGCUUUGUUACUUAGCACAGCAGUUUUGUAGCAGGUCUGGGGACUCCAUUCCUUGUUAGGGCUGAAUUGGGCCAUAGCCCUUCAGCUCAUGUCAUCCUGAAGCUGGUGGGGGAUCACUGGGCCUCUGGCUGCUGCACCAUGGGAGGGGGACUCCUGGCCUCAGAGCAGGCUAAGCCUGGGCUGUAGGCAUUGUACUCCCACUUCAGUGGGUGGAGCUGGCUCUACUCACACUGCCUUUGGUGCUGCUUCUCCCCAGACCAUGCCCUGGUGGCUGGGGCCCAGCACGUGGUGACUUUUGAUGGCCUGGUGUGGGACUUCAGCAACCAGUGCAGCAGCAUCCUCCUGGCCCAAGACUUCACUCACAACACAUUCUCACUGAUGCUGAGUUGGACAGGCUUGGGGCUCAUGGCCUUGACCGUGAAGCUGAACCAUGUGACCCUCCACCUUCUACUCCAGCCUGCAGGCCUUCAGGCUGUACAAUUCCUCCCUGCCAGGGGAUAGCUGUCCAGACCUCCAGCUGCCUUUUGCCACGAAAAGGAGGGAUGUCCCCAGGAUUAAGCUAACCAGUGAGGACAGGGUCUCCAUCUCCUGUGACAUGCCAACCGGCCUCUGCAGUCUGACUCUGCGCCUCUGGCACCAUGGCAUAUCCGCUGGCCUUCUGGACACCAAUGACAAUGAAGCAGGCACUGAUCUAAUGUUGCUGGAUGGCUUGAGUUUUGCGUCUGUCCCACCAGGUGGAUGGUGACUGCAGGGCCACCGGGAAGCCUCAGCCGACCUGCCCAAGACAGAGCCCCUCUCGCCAGGCCUUCUUUCAGGACCCCCCGUCCAGCUUGGGGAACUGCUUCUGGGUGGUUAGUGUGAGCCUGGGUCCUGGGGCACAGCAAGCUUUUUCCCCAAUCUACCCUGGGGAGUGUCAUGGAGCAGAGAGUCCUAGGUUAGAGACGAUGACUGGGUGUCCCUGAUUUCAGGUGGAGCCUGCACCAUUCCUUAGCCUGUGUGUGCAGGACCCCUGAGGCACCCAGGAGCUCCAGCCUUCCUGCAUUCUGGCAGCCACCUACAUCCACCUCUGUGCCUGCAGCUUCGUGUCCCUAGCCCUCCUCCAUUAGUGCAAUAAGCUGCCCCAGCCAGCUGGCACUCUGCCCCCUAGCUGGCAUCUGCCUUCCAGCCAUAGGGAAAACCCGUCUCUUUCUCUCGUCAGGGUGAACAAAUAAUUGUCAUUCAAGGAGCUAAGAGUCAAAACAAAUCAUUUAAGGCCUGAUACAGCUUGGAUGUGUGUCCCCUCCAAAUCUCACGUUUGUUAGAGGCUGUAUAUCCCUCAUGGAUGGCUUAGCAUCCUGCGUUUGGUGAAGCGUGAGUUCUUGCUCUAUUAGUUUACCUGAGAGCAGUUUGUUUAUAAAGAGCCUGGCCCCUCCUCUCUCUCUUUGCACCCACUCCCAUUUCUGCCAUGAUCAUAAGCUUCCCAAGGCCUCACCAGAAGCCAAGCAGAUGCUGGAGCUGUGCUUGUACAGCCUGUAGAACUGUGAGUUAAUUAUCUCUCUUAUUUAUGAUCUACCCAGGCUGGAGUAUAGUGGCACAAUCUCACCUCACUGCAACUUCCACCUCCCAGGUUCAAGCAAUACUCCUGCCUUAGCCUCCCAAAAAUACAGGCAGGUAUUUUUGUAGGAUGGUGUUUUUCUAUGUUGGCCAGGCUGGUCAUGAAUUCCAGGUGAACCUCUGGUGAUCCACCUGCCUCGGCCUCCCAAAGUGCUGAAUGACAGGCGUGAGCCACCACGCCCAGCCUUACUAGGGAUUUGAAUGUCCACUAUUGUUUAGGGAAAAUGCUCCACCCCUGUUUUCCCUCUGCUCUCAUACUGCAAAAAUCAUCAACAUAGAAGAUGACUUCUGUGAGCAAACGUGUGGAGGUUUGUCCCCACUACCAGGGCAGACCUCUAAUUCAGUUCUAACACUAGCUACCUUGAGAUCUUUCAGCCUGUGCUGCAUCCAAAUGCCACAGCCAAAGCCCCACUAAAAGGGCAUAGAGGUCAGUAUCAACAAGAGGAGUGGACUUCCAAGAGCUACAGAUAUCAGAAUUAGCGGCUGCUAUUUAUAGACAUUUAAAACUUAAUCAAUUGGAAAAUACGACAAAAGGAGGAUGAAAUGAGAUGAUCCAACAUGUCUCAAAGAAAUUCCAGGCUGGGUGUGGUGGCUCAUUUCUGUAAUCCCAGCACUUGGGAGGCCAAGAUGAGUGAAUCACCUAAGGUCAGGAGUUUGAGACCAAUCUGGCCAACAUGGUGAGAACCCAUCUCUACUAAAAAUACAAAAAUCAGCCAGGAGUAGUGGUGUGUGCCUUUAAUCCCAGCUACUCAGGAGGCUGAGGCAGGAGAAAUGCUUCAACCCAGGAGGUGGAGGUGGCAGUGAGCCAAGAUCAUCUUGCCACUGCAUUCCAGCCUGGUGACAGAGUGAGAGUCUGUCUCAACAACAAAAAAAAAUUACAGAAUGAAAACAGACAGUACCCUGAACUCUUUAGAGUCAGGAGGCACAAUCCCCAAUACAAUAAAUACAUUUGUACCUAGACCCAUCCAAACACAAUUGCAGAAAAGACAAAGAAAAGGUCCUAAAAGCUACUGAGGAUAAUGGAAAGAAGGAAGAACAUGUUGACAACUGCUUUCCAACCAGCAGCAACAGAAGACAUGGAGUAAGAGAAAGUAAGCAUGAGAUUAGAGAUGAUCCCCAGCUCAACUAUUACUGAAUGAAAUAACCUUUCAGCACUGAUCUGUCUAGAGAUCUCUUUACCACAAACGGACACUUACUCAAGGGACACAUCCACAUGUUCAUUUAUGUACUGUCUGUGUCUGCUUUCCUGUUACAGGGGCAGAGUAUCUGCGAGGGAGACCACAUUCUUGCUCUGUGAAAGACUCAGGAGGAUGAAAAGAUAAGCUACAGAUUGGGUGUUUAAAAACCACCUAUCAGACCAAGGACUCAUCUCUAGAAUACAUAAAGAACUCAGAGCUCACAAGUAGGCCACACUUGUAUUCCUAGCGUUUUGUGAGGCUGAGGCGAGAUGGCUUGAACCCGGGAGGUCAAGGCUGCAGUGAGCCAUGACUACACUCCUGGCUGCGUGACAGAGUGAGAGCUUGUCUCACAAAACAAAACCUCCAAAGUAAAGAAUGGGAAAUAAACACAUCAACAAUGUUUGCACUCCCAGCCAUAGAGAAACAAGAUAGUGCUACACACCUGAGCUCCAGUGAGUUCCGGUACAAGUUGGUGAGUUGCAGGGACUCUGCGGCAUAAAGCAUUAGUUGAACAUCCAAAUGGCCAGGUUGUGAUUUCAGCAUGCACUGACGAAUGCACCAUAAAAAGCACUGUUCUAGUUCCAAAAAGGUUGUGGCUGCUGAGAAUAAAGCUAGGCUUAGAGGCAGGAAUCAAGGUCACGGUCUACUAGCCAGAUCCUCUCGGGAAACAGCAUUGGAUUCAUGAAGUGCCAAGACAGGAGGUGGUGUGGCUCCACGGGAAGGUUGGAGAAUCUGGGAAUCAAGCAGAAGCACUCAUUGUUCUGACCAUGUACAUACAAAACUGUCAGCUACUACAGCCAUCAACAGAACAUCUGGGAUGACAGGCAUCUCAGAAGAUUUAUAGCCACAGGGUAACAAUAAAGUAUUAUCUGCAGUUAAGGUCCUCUGUCUUCCUCUUAGGGUUUGUUUAUUUAUUGAGACAGAGUCUUGCUCUGUCGCCCAGGCUGAAGUGCAGUGGAGCAAUCUUAGCUCACUGCAACCUUCUCCUCCCUGGUUCCAGUAAUUCUCCUGCCUCAGCCUCCUGAGGAGCUGGGAUUACAGGCAUGUGCCACCACGCCCUGCUAAUUUUUUUGUGUUUUUAGUGGAGACGGGGGUGCACCAUGUUGGCCAGGAUGGUCUCAAACAUUAAACCUCAUGAUUUGUCUGCCUCGGCCUCCUACAGUGCUGGGAUUACAGGUGUGAGCCACCGUGUCUGGCCGGGUCUAUUUAUUUUAAAUCAAGGGCUAAAUUCUUCCCCUCUCUUGAAUACCAGUGAAGUAUUUAAGAAAAGCAGUCACCAGUCACAGUUAACAUUUGAAGGACAAAUUCAAAGGUGAUUGUAAGUUACAAAAUAAAGGCAUCUUAUGAAAUCUCAUAAGAAAAAAGGAAUAUUAAGAUACUUUUUAUUAUCUUUUUGAGAUAGAAUCUUGCUCUGUCCUCCAGGCUGGAGUACAGUGGUGCAGCCUCCCAAGUAGUUGGGAUUACAGGCAUCCACCACGAUGUUUUUCCAUUUUUAGUAGAGACGGGGUUUCACCAUGUUGGCCAGGCUGGUCUCAAACUCCUGACUUCAUGUGAUCCUUCCACCUAGCACCUGACCAGAGAAAUUAAGACAUUCUCAGAUUAACAAAAGCUGAGAUAGUUCAUUACAUUGGUACCUCUCCUGCAAGAAAUGCUAAAGGGAGUCCUUCAAGUCAAAACAAAAAGAUGCUAGGUGGACAUUUGAAGCCACACAUAAAGACCUGUAUUAUUAGAAUUUUGAUUCACAUCUCUGAUUUUUAUUAUUUUAUUGGAUUUAAAAGAGAUAUGUAACCAUAAACCUAUGUUAAAUGUGUAAUUUAUUUUAAAAAAUUAGGCAUGGUGGCAUGCACUUGUAGUCUUAGCUAUGGAGGAUCACUUGAGUCCAGGGUCUUCAGGUUACAAUGAGCUAUGACAGUGACACUGCACUCCAGACUGGGUGACAGAGUGAGACCCUUUUUCUAAAAUAUAGAUAUACUUUGUAGCAUCAAGAACACAGGAUAAGGCAGAGCUGUCCAGGAGUAGAGUAUUUGUAUGUGAUUGAACUUACUGGUUUAAAAUCAAUUGCUAUAACUUCAGGAUGUUUUAUAUAAUUCUCAUAGUAAUUACAAAGAAAAUAUCUACAGAAUGUACACACAAAAGAAAGUGAGAAGGCAUUCUAAGUGUGUCACACCAAAAAAUCAAUUAACACAAAGGAAGGCAGAAAGAAGGAAAUGAGAGAGAAAACAAACCAGUAAGCCAUGCAGAAAACAAUCCACAGAGUGGCACCGGGAGGCCCCAUAAAUGGUGUGCUGGAGUCCUCCCAGAGGAACUGCUCACCUUAGUCCCUGGCUGUGGGCCUCUUGGCACAGUCAACCACUAGGCUAUAUAGUUUCCUCAGAUGAUAAUCUUUACAAAUGCAAAUUAUUUCCACAAUCUAAAGAUAGUAAGAGACUUACACAUAGGAUGAAAGAAGAUACUCCAUGGAAAUGGUAACCGAAAAAAGGAGGUGGAGCUAGAUUAAUCUCAGACUAAAUAGACUUAAGGUCAAAAGCUGUUGUAAGAGAUAAUAACAGUCCAUUCACCAAAAAGAUGCAACAGUUAUAAAGGUACAUGCAACGCACCUCAGAGCUCCUAAAUAUAUGAUGCAAACACUGACAGAAUGAAAACAGAAGCAGACGGUUCUAUGAAAAUUGUAGGAAAUUUCAACACCUCACUUUUUUUUUUUUUCCAUACAGAAUUUUUGUUUCCCAGGCUGGAAUGCAGCUGCAACCUCCUGAAUUCAAGUGAUUCCCGUGCCUCUGCCUCAGAGUAGCUGGGAUUACAGGUGUAUGCCACCAUGCCCAGCUAUUUUUCAUAGAGAGGGAUUUACCACAUUGGCCAGGCUCAUCUUGAACUCCUGACCUCAAGUGAUCCACCCACCUUGGCCUCGCAAAGUGCUGGGAUUACAGGCAUGAGCCUCUGUGCCUGGCCCAAUAACUGACUUUCAAUAAUGGAAACAACACCGAGACAGAAGAUCAAGUAGGAAACAGAGAGCUUGAAUGAUACUAUAGAGGAAUUGGACCUACCAGACAUACACAGAUGAGUUCACCCAGCAGCAGAAUACACAUUCUUCAAAGUACAUGUGGAAUGUUCUAUGGGAAAGAUCAUAUAUUAGGCCUGAAAGCAAGAUUUAAUACACUUUGAAUGACUGAAAUUAUAAUAGCAGAAGGAAAACUGGAAUAUUCACAAAUCUAUGGGAACUCAACAACACACUGCAAAACUAUGGAUCAAAGAAAAAUAAUAAGGAAAAUUAUAAAGUAUUUUGAGACAAAAUAUAUCAAAUCUUAUAGGAUGCAGUAAAAGCAGUGCUAUGAGGGAAAUUUAUAGCUGUACAUGCUUACAUUUAAAGAAAGCUGGCUGGAGGUGGUGGCUCAAAUCUGUAAUUCCAGCACUUUGGGAGGCCGAGACAGGCAGCUAACCUGAUGUCAGGAGUUUAAGACCAGCCUGGCUAACAUGGGGAAACCCCAUCUCUACUAAAAACAUAAAAUUAGCCAGGUGUGGUGGCAAGCACCUGUAGUCUCAGCUACUUGGGAGGCUAAGGCAGGAGAAUCAUUUGAACCCAUGAGGAGGAGGUUGCAGUGAGCCAAGAUUGUACCACUACACUCCAGCCUGAAAGACACAGCUAGACUCCAUUUUCCCCCACCCCAACAAAAAAAUAAAGCAGCAGCAGCAGCCAGGCAUAGUGACACUGUUCUAUAAUCCCACCUACUUGGAAGGCUGAGGCCAGGAGAUUGCUUGAACCCAGGAGUUUGAGACUAACUCAGCAAGUGGCAAGAUUCUCUCUCAAAUAAAAGAAAAAGAAAAGGUGUCAAACCACAAUCCUAGCUUUGUACCUUAAAUUAUUAGAAAGAGAAAACAGCCUAAACCCAAAGCUAGGAGAAAGAAAGAAAUACUAAAGGUUAGAACAGAAAUAAAUGAAAUAGAAGAUGAAUCAGUGACCAAAAACUUGACAAGAAAGUACAAGAACAGAUGGCUUCAUGGGUGACUUGUACCAAACAGUUACAGAAUCAAUACCAAACCUGCUCAUCUUCUUCCAAAAUACUGAGGAAAGAAUACCUCCAAACUCAUUCUGUGAGGCCAGCAUUACUGAUACCAAAGACAGACAAAUCAGCAGAAGAAAACACACCACUAUUCCUGAUCAAUACAGAUGCAAAAGUGCUCAAGAAAAUACUAAUGAGAAUUCAACAGCAUCAUAAAAGGAUUAUACAUGAUCAAGUAAGAUGUAUUCCUGAAUUGCAAAGGUGGUUACCAUACAAACAUUGGGAUAAGAUACCACAUUAACAGAAUGAAGGAAAGAAAAUACAAUUUGUUUCAAUUAGUACAAAGAAAGCAUUUAAUGAAGUUUGAUAUCCUUUCAUUAUUAAAAACAUACUGACUAGAAAUCGAAACAACCUCAAUGUGUAAUAAAGGUCAUAUGAACAACCUCCAGCUAGUAUCAUUCUCAAUGAUAAGAGACAAAGUUUUCCAAGAUGAGUAAUAAAACAAUGAUGCCUGCUUUCAUAAUACUGGAAAUCCUAGCCAGAGCUAUUUAGAAAGAAAGGAAAAAGACAAGGCAUCAAAAUUGGAAAGGAAGAAGUAAAAUUUUCUUUGUUAACAAACGACAUGAUCUUCUUCGUAGAAAAUCCUGAAGACUGCACAAAAUAAACUGUUAGAACUAAUAAUUUGUCCAAGUUUCAGGAUUAUGAAAUCAACAUACAGAAGUCAGUUGCAUUUCUACACACCAACAAUCAACAAUCCAAGAAGGAAAUUAAGAAAACAGUUCCUGCUGGCUUGGUUGUGGAUGCCUAUAGUUUCAGCUACUUGGGAGGCUGAGGUAGGAGAGUUGCUUGAGCCUGGGAGGUCAAUGCUGUCAGUUUUUAUAAUGAUUAUGCCUGUGAAUAGCCAGUGUACUCCAGCCUGGGCAACAUAGUGAGACACUACCUUAAAAAGAAAAGAAAAGAAAAGAAAAGAAAAAAGUCAGUUUACAAUAGCAUCAAAAAGAAUAAAACAGGAAUAAACUCAACCAGGAGGCAAAGACUCAGGCAGGAUUUUGAGUUCCAGAGACCGGUUGUGUAAUAAAUAUAAAGGCAUCUCAUAUUUAUGUAUUAAAAAGCUUAGUUUCAUUAAGAUGUCAAUACGACUCAAAGUGAUCUACAGGUUUAGUUUACUUGCUCUCAAAAUGUCAGUGACAUUUUUCUUCAAUUGUAGAAAAAUCCAUCCUUAUAAAUUGUUUAAAGUUUAUAUGCAAUUUCAAGAGACCCCAGAUGGCCAAAGCAAUGAAAAAGUAACAAAGUUGGAAGUCUUUUACUUCUCAAUUUCAAAAUGUAUUAUUGAAAGGUACAGAGGGCUGGGCAUGGUGGCUCAAGCCUGUAAUCCCAGCACUCUCGGAAGCUGAGGUGGGCAGAUCACGAGGUCAAGAGAUCAAGACCAUCCUGGCCAAUAUGAUGAAACCUCAUCUCUACUAAAAAUACAAAAAUUAGCCAAAUGUGGUGGCACACACCUGUGGUCCAAGCUACUUGGGAGGCUGAGGCAGAAGAAUCCCUUGAACCCAGGAGGCAGAGGUUGCAGUGAGCUGAGAUUGUGCCACUGCACUCCAGCCUGGUGACAGAGCAAGACUCUGCCCGAGGAAAAGAAAAAAAAAGCUCCAGUGGUCAAAAGUGUGGUAUGACAGUAAAGACAUACAGAGAGACCAGUGGAAUGGAAUACAGAGUGCAGAAGGAAACUCUUACACAUAUGGUCAAAUGAGUUCAAUAAGGAUGCCAAGGCUAUUCAAUCAGGGAAGGGACAGUCUUUCAACAAAUGGUGUGGGGAAACUAGAUAUUCACAGGCAAAAGAAUGAAGUUAAAGCCUUACCUUAUAUCAUGUUAAAAAAAAAGAAAGAAAGAAAACCUCAAUAAUAAAUCAAAGACCUAAGUGUAAGAUCUGAAGCUAUACAACUCAUUUUUUUCAGACAGUCUCAUUCUGACACUGAGGGUGGAGUGCAGUAGUGCGAUCUCGGCUCACUGCAACCUCCGGCUCCCAGGUUCAAGCAAUUCUCUUCCUCAGCCUCCCAAGUAGCUGGGAUUACAGGAGCCCAUCACUAUGCCUAGCUAAUUUUUGUAUUUUUAGUAGAGACAGGGCAUCUUGGUCAGGCUUGUCUUGAGCUCCUGACCUCAUGAUUCACCCACUUCGGCUCCCAAUGUGCUGGGAUAUAGGCAGGAGCCACUGUUCCCAGCUGACAACUCUUAAAACAUAGAAGGAGAGCUUCAUUUGGCCAUGAUUUCUUAGAUAUGACACCAAAGGCCCAAACAACAAAAGGAAAAGUAGAUAGAUUGGAUUGCAUCGAUGGAUACUAUUAACAGACUGAAAAGGCCACCUACGGAAUGACAGAUGUGCAAAUUACACGUCAAAGAGUUCCCAUCUAGAAUAGAUAAAGCACUCUCACAAUGCAACAACAAAAACCCAACUAACACGGUUCAGAAAUGUACAAAGGAUGUGAAUAGACAGUCCACCAAAUAAGAGAUGCAAAUGGCCAAUCAGCACAUAAAAAGAUGCUCAUCAUCACUAUUAGGGAAACAAACCAAAACCACAUGGAGAGGCUGGGCAUGCUGCUCACGCCUGUAAUCCCAGCACUCUAAAAGGACGAAGUGGGCGGAUAACUUGAGGCCAGGAAUUUGAGACCAGCCUGGCUGACAUGGUAACACCAUAUCUCUACUAAAAAUAGAAAAAUUAGCUGGGUGUGGUGCCAUGUGCCUGAAGUCCCAGACGCUCAGCAGGCUGAGGCAGGAGAAUUGCUUGAACCUGGGAGGUGGAGAUUGCAGUGAGCCAAGAUUGCACCGCUGCACUGUAGCCUGGGUUAUAGAGCGAGACUCCAUCUCAAAAAAAGAAAAGAAGACCUACAUGGAGAGGCCACCUCAGACUCAUUAGGAUGGCUGUAAUUCAUACAGAAAAUAAAGUGUUAGCGAGGAUGCUGAGCGGUUGGAAGCCAUAUGUACUCUUACUGGGAAUUUUAAAUGGAGCUGUAGCUAUGGAAAACAGAGUUUAAACUUUUCAUCGAAAAGUUAAAAACAGGCCAGGCGUGGUGGCACACACUUGUAAUCCCAGCACUUUAUGAGGCCGGGGCAGGUGAAUCACUUGAGGCUAGGAGUUCAAGACAAGUCUGGCCAAUGUGGUGAAAUCCAUCUCUACUAAAAACACAAAAACUAGCCAUGCGUGAUGGUGCAGGCCUGUAAUCCCAGCUACUUGGAAGGCUGAGGGUUAAGAAUCGCUUGAAACCAGGAGGCAGAGGUUGCAGUAAGCCAAGAUUGCACCACUGCAUUCCAGCCUGGGUGACAGAGCAAGACUCUGUCUCAAAACAAGGAUUACCAUAUAAUCCAGCAUUUCCACUUCUGGGUGUGUACUCCCUACAAUUCAAAGGGCCUCACACAUUUUACACACCGAUGUUCAUAGCAGCAUUGUUGAGAACAAAUUCUGACAUGUGUAAGAAAUCAUAUUGUUUACUGAGAAAUCCUAUUGAGAGAGGCGGCAAGGGAAACCUAGUCGGCCUCCCAAAGCGGAAAACUGCCCCCAAAGCAGCAAACUGCUUAAAGCAUUAUAAAACAGUAUCCAAUAUAAUUAGGUCUCACACCAGAUGAAUUAGUUCUUGGAACACAGGAUGUGUAACCCUUUCCUUUGUUCCCUUGUAAAGAGCACUUUCUAGUUUGUCUGUAACCUAUAGUAAACAUGCACUAGCUGCCUGGUUAGUUUACCUUUAACCAAUGAAAGAAAACAGAGCAUCCUCUUGUAAAACUUGUCACUGGAAAGUCAAGAAUAAAUACAUAGGUUAGAGUCUGCUCUGGACUCUCAGCUGGAAAUGCUGUGAGACCCCUGCUGCUCCACUCUGAACCCAUCUUUUGCUAUCUCUUUCUGUUUCUUAAUUUCUUCAGUUCCGCAUAAGUUGGGGUCUCCAAGGCUGAGCUGGUCUUGGCACAGCGGUAUUCAUAGAAGCUGAAUAAUAGCAGCAAUCCAAGUGCCCACUGACGAAUAAACGAAUGUGGUCUCUCCAUACAGUCAAAUAUUAUUCAGCCUUAAAAAGGAAGGAAAUUCCAACUCAUGCUAACACAUGGAUGAAACUUUAGGACGUUAUGCAAAGUGAAAUAAGGCAGUCACAAAAAGAGAAAUACUGUAUGAUUCCAUUUAUGGGAAGGACCUAGAGUAAUCAGAUUCACAGAGACAGAAAGUAGAGUGGUGGCGGCCAGGAGCUGGGAGAGCCAGUAAUGGCUUAUUUAAUGGGGACACAGUUUCAGUUGGGUAGGAUUUAGUGAGUUCCAGAGUUUGGCUGCACAAAAAUAUAAUUGUACUUACACUGAGGUGGGUACUUUAAAUGGUGGUUGUAAAUUUUUUGUGUUUUACCACAUUGAAUAUUUUUGACAUUGGAAAUGUAUAUUUAUUAAGCAACUCCAUGCUGGGCAUGAUGAUACAAUUAUCAACACCGUAGUUAUAAAAAACACUCUUAGGUACAAUUCUAAGUGUGAAAACUAGCACAGACAUACAGUAAUAGACAGACCCACAAAACUCAGAUAGUAGGCUUAUUAGACAGAGAUCAUAGAUUUCAGCAGGGAACCAGAAAUUAUUAAAAUUAGUAAUUUAGCCAAUCAGCUAAUUUACUAAUUACUGAAAAUUACAUACUGAAAAAGAACCAGAAUGUAGUAGAAAGAGAUGGCAGAAAGGCCACCUAAAGCCCAUCUUUUAGACAUUGCUCUAAGCAGAUGAGGGACAGAAGGGCACUUCCUGGCCAGGUGUGGUGGUUCAUGCCUGUAGUCCCAGCUCCUCAGGAGGCUGGGGCAGGGAAGUCACUUGAACCCAGCAGGCAGAGUUUGCAGUGAGCUGAUACUGUGCCACUGCACUCCAGCCUGGGCGACAGAGCAAGACUCCAUCUCAAAAAACAAAUAGCAGGGUGUGGUGGCUCACGCCUGUAAUCCCAGCACUUUGGGAGGCCGAAGCGGGUGGAUCGUUUGAGGUCAAUUGACAACUUAGAGAGGAAUAUGAGUGAAUUGAUGAAGCUGAAAAACACAACAUGAGAACUUCACGAAGCAUGCACAAGUUUCAACAGCCAAAUUGACCAAGCAGAAGAAAGGAUAUCAGAGGUCAAAAAUCAAAACAAUGAAAUAAAACGAGAAGGCAAGAUUGGAAAAAAAGCGCAAACAGAAAUGAACAAAGUCUCCAAGAAAUGGGAGACUAUGUGAAGAGACCUAAUCUACAUUUGAUAGGUGUACCUGAAUGUGACAAAGAAAAUGAAUCCAAGCUGGAAAAUACUCUUCAGGAUAUUAUCCAGGAAAACGUCAACAACCUAGUAAGGCAGGCCAAUAUUCAAGUACAGGAAAUACAGAGAACACCACAAAGAUAUUCCUCAAGAAGAGCAAGCCCAAGGCACAUAAUCGUCAGAUUCACCAGGAUUGAAAUGAAGGAGAAAAUGCUAAGGGCAGCCAGAGAGAAAGGUCGGGUCACCCACAAAGGGAAGCCCAUCAGACUCAUAGCAGAUCUCUCGUCAGAAACCCUACAAGCCAGAAGAGAGUGGAGGUCGAUAUUCAACAUCCUUAAAGAAAAGAACUUUCAACCCAGAAUUUCAUAUCCAGCCAAACUAAACUUCAUAAGUGAAGGAAAAAUAAAAUUCUUUGUGAAUAAGCAACUACUCAGAGAUUUUGUCACCACCAGGCCUGCUUUACAAGAGCUUCUGAAAAAGGCAUUACACAUAGAAAGGAACAACCAGUACCAACCACUCCAAAAACAUACCAAAUGGUAAAAAGCAUCAACAAAAUGAAGAAUCUGCAUCAACUAAUGGGCAAAACGGCCAGCUAGCAUCAAAAUGGCAGUAUAAAAUUCAAAUAUAACAAUAUUAACACUAAAUGUAAAUGGGCUAAAUGCACCAAUCAAAAGACACAGACUGGCAAAUUGGAUAAAAAGCCAAAAUCCAUCAGUGUGCCGUAUCCAGGAAACCCAUCUCACAUGCAAGGAUACACAAAGACUCAAAAUAAAGGGAUGGAGGAAGAUUUACCAAGCAAACAGAGAGCAAAAAGAAGAAAAAGUUGCAAUUCUCGUCUCUAAUAAAAUAGACUUUAAAGCAACAAAGAUCAAAAGAGACUAAGAAGGAUAUCACAUAAUGAUAAAAGGAUUGAUACAACAAGAAGAGCUAAUGAUCCUAAAUAUAUAUGGACCCAAUACAGGAGCACCCAGAUACAUAAGGCAAGUUCUUAAUGACUUACAAAGAGACUUAGAUUCCCACACAAUAAUAGAGGAAGACUUUAACACUCCACUUUCAAUAUUAGACAGAUCAACCAGACAGAAAGUUAAGAAGGAUAUCCAGGACCUGAACUCAGACCUAAAACAAGCAAACCUGAUAGACAUUUACAGAAUUCUCCACCCGAAAUCUACAGAAUAUACAUUCUUCUCAGCACCACACCACACCUACUCUAAAAUUGACCACAUAAUUGAAAGUAAAGCACUCCUCAGCACUCCUCAACAACUGACAUAAUAACAAACAGUCUCUCAGACCAUAGUGCAAUCAAGUUAGAACUCAGAAUUCAGAAACUAACUCAGAAUCGCACAGCUUCAUGGAAACUGAACAACUAGCUCUUGAAUGUUGACUGGAUAAACAAUGAAAUGAAGGCAGAAAUAAAGAGGUUCUUUAAAACCAACGAAAACGAAGACACAACAUACCAGAAUCUCUGGAACAUAUUUAAAGCAGUCUGUAGAGGAAAAUAUAUAGAAAUAAGUGACCACAUGAGAAAAGUGAAGAGUUCCAAAAUUGACACCCUAUCAUCAAAAUUGAAAGAGCUAGAGGCAAGAUAAAAAAAAACUCAAAACCUAGAAGAAGACAAGAAAUAACUGAGAUCAGAGCAGAACUGAAAAAGAUAGAGACACAAAUAACCCUUCAAAAAAUUAAUAAAUCCAGAGAGUGUUUUUUCGAAAAGAUCAACAAAAUGACAGACCACUAGCCAUAUUAAUUUCAAAAGAGAGAAUAACCAAAUAGAUGCAAUAAAAAAGAUAAAGGGGAAAUCACCACAGAUUCCACAGAAAUUCAAACCAUCAUCACAGAAUAUUACAAACAACUCUAUGCACAUAAACUAGUAAACCUGGAAGUAAUGAAUAAAUUCCUGAACACUUGCAUCCUCCCAAGCCUAAACCAGGAAGAAAUCAAAACCAUGAAUAGACCAAUAACAAGAUCUGAAGUUGAGGCAGCAAUUAAGAGCCUACCACACAAGAAAAGCCUGGGUCCGAAUAGGUUCACAGCCGAGUUCUACCAGACACACAAAGAGGAACUGUUACCAUACCUCCUGAAACUAUUCCAAAUAAUCCAAAAAGAAGGAAACCUUCCCAAAUCAUUUUAUGAGACCAACAUCAUUCUGAUACCAAUACCUGGCAGAGUCUCAACAAGAAAAGAAAACUUCAGGCCAAUAUCCAUGAUGAACACAGAUGCAAAAAUCUUCAAUAAAAUACUGGCAAGCCAAUUGCAACAGCACAUCAAAGAGCUUAUCCACCAUGAUCAAGUAGGUUUCAUCCCGAGGAUGCAAGGCUGGUUCAACAUAUGCAAGUCUAUAAACAUAAUUUUCCACAUAAACAGAACCAAAACAAAAACCACGUGAUUAUCUCGAUGCAGAGAAGGCCCUUGACAAAAUUCAACAGUCCUUUAUGCUAAAAAUCCUCAAUAAACUCGGUAUUGAUGGAACGUAUUUCAAAAUAAUAAAAGCUAUUUACAACAAACCAACAGCCAAUAUGAUACUGAAUGUGCAAAAACUGGAAGCAUUCCCUUUGAAAUCUGACACUAGACAAGGAUGCCCUCUCUUACCACUCCUAUUCAAUAUAGUACUGGAAGUUCUAGCCAAAGCAAUUAGGCAAGAAAAAGAAAUAAAGGGUAUUCAAAUAGGAAAAGAGGAAGCCAAAUUGUUUCUAUUUACAGACGACAUGAUUGUAUAUCUAGAAGACCUCAUCGUCUCAGCCCAAAUCUCCUGAAACUGAUAAGCACCUUCAGCAAAGUCUCAGGAUAUAAAAUCAAUGUGCAAAAAUCACAAGCAUUCCUAUACACCAAUAACACACUUAAAAAGAGCCAAAUCAAGAAUGAACUGCCAUUCACAAUUGCUACAAAAAGAAUAAAAUACCUAGGAAUACAACUAACAAGGGAUGUAAAGGACCUCUUCAAGGAGAACUACAAACCACUGCUCAAUGAAAUAAGAGAGGACACAAACAGAUGCAGAAACAUUCCAUGUUCAUGGUUAGGAAGAAUAAAUAUCAUGAAAAUGGACAUACUGUCCAAAGUAAUUUACAGAUUCAAUGCUAUCCCCAUCAAGCUACCAAUGACCUUCUUCACAGAACUGGAAAAAACUAUCUUGAACUUUAUAUGGAACCAAAAGAGAGCCCACAUAGCCAAGUCCAUUCUAAGUAAAACAACACAGAGGGAGGCAUCACACUACUGGACUUCAAACUAUACUACAAGCCUAUGGCAAUCAAAACAGCAUGGUACUGGUACCAAAACAGAGAUAUAGACCAAUGGAACAGAACAGAGGCAUCAGAGGCAACACAACAUAUCUACAACCACACAAUCUUUGAUAAACCCGACAAAAACAAGCAAGGGGGAAAGGAUUCUCUGUUUAAUAAAUGGUGUUGGGAAAACUGGCUAGCCAUGUGCAGAAAGCAGAAACUGGACCCCUUCCUGACACCUUACACUAAAAUUAACUCCAGAUGGAUUAAAGACUUAAACAUAAGACCUAACACCAUAAAAACCCUAGAAAAAAAUCUAGGCAAAACCAUUCAGGACAUCGGAGUAGGCAAGGACUUCAUGACCAAAACACCAAAAGCAUUGGCAACAAAAGCCAAAAUAGAUAAAUGGGACCUAAUCAAACUCCACAGCUUCUGCAAGGCAAAAGAAACAGUAAUUAGAGUGAAUCGGCAACCAACAGAAUGGGAAAAAAUGUUUGCGGUAUACCCAUCUGACAAAGGGCUGAUAUCCAGAAUUUACAAAGAACUCAAACAGAUUUACAAGAAAUAAAAAAACAAGCUCAUUCAAAAGUGGGCAAAGGAUAUGAACAGACACUUUACAAAAGAAGACAUACAUGAGGCCAACAAACAUAUGAAAAAAUGCUCAUCAUCACUGGUCAUUAGAGAAAUGCAAAUCAAAACUACAUUGAGAUACCAUCUCUCACCAAUUAGAAUGGCAAUCAUUAAAAAAUCUAUUUUUAGAUUUUUUAAUCUAAAAAUUUUAACAGAUGCUGGGACGAUGUGGUGAAAUAGAAACACUUUUACACUGUUGGUGGGAGUGUAAAUUAGUUCAACCAUUGUGGAAGACAGUGUGGCAAUCCCUCAAGGACCUAGAAAUAGAAAUUCCAUUUGACCCAGCAAUCCCAUUACUGUGUAUAUAUCCAAAGAAUUAUAAGUCAUUCUACUAUAAGGACACAUGCACACGAAUGUUCAUUGCAGCACUGUUUACAAUAGCAAAGACCUGGAAUCAACCCAAAUGCCCAUCGAUGAUAGACUGGACUGGGAAAAUGUGGCACAUAUAGAUAAUCGAAUAUUAUACAGCAAUCAAAAACAAUGAGUUUGUGUCCUUUAUAGGGACACGGGUGAACCUGGAGAACAUCAUUCUCAGCAAACUGACACAAGAACAGAAAAUGAAAUACCGCAUAUUCUCACUUAUAGGCGGGUGUUGAACAAUGAGAACACAUGAACACAGGGAGGGGAG